CAAUAGCGUAUAUUAAAGUUGUUGCAGUUAAAAAGCUCGUAGUUGGAUUUGUGGCUGUCGCGGGCGGCCUGACACUUUGUGUUAGUGCUUGCUUGCGUCGCCAUCCUUGGGUGGAACCUGUGUGGCAUUAGGUUGUCGUGCAGGGGAUGCCCAUCGUUUACUGUGAGAAAAUUAGAGUGUUCAAAGCAGGCUUAUGCCGUUGAAUAUAUUAGCAUGGAAUAAUAAGAUAGGACCUUGGUACUAUUUUGUUGGUUUGCGCACCAAGGUAAUGAUUAAUAGGGACAGUUGGGGGUAUUCGUAUUCCAUUGUCAGAGGUGAAAUUCUUGGAUUUUUGGAAGACGAACUACUGCGAAAGCAUUUACCAAGGAUGUUUNCAUUAA
RNAcentral lists this ribosomal RNA (380 nucleotides) under uncultured eukaryote. Its description in RNAcentral is "partial 18S ribosomal RNA". It matches the Rfam family "Eukaryotic small subunit ribosomal RNA", at positions 592 to 976 of the family's 1831-position model. The record is from RNAcentral.